UAAUUUCAGGAUUUGAAUGCU
Non-coding RNA from Caenorhabditis elegans, 21 nucleotides. The record is from Ensembl. Lineage: Eukaryota; Metazoa; Nematoda; Chromadorea; Rhabditida; Rhabditidae.